This 12178-nucleotide long non-coding RNA is filed under the name Triticum aestivum (bread wheat). RNAcentral's name for it is "long non-coding RNA (TAES_LNC006340)". Lineage: Eukaryota; Viridiplantae; Streptophyta; Magnoliopsida; Poales; Poaceae. The record is from RNAcentral.
UUUUUUUUAUUUUUGUUCUGCAUAUUUUUGCAUCAAAUUCCUUGCAAAUCUUUCAGCUAAUUCAUUGCAAAUCUUUGUAAGAUCUUAGUUGACUAGUGAGCUGAGGUGACAAGUGUUUUUCUCUAUGAUGAACUCGGUUUCACCGAAUAGCUAUUUUCGGUCCAACCAAAUCCCUUUGGUACUACCGAAACAUGCCACUCGGUGCCACCGAUUUCGCAACAGGAAAAACAGUUUGCCACAUAUUCUAUAUUUCUUCUGAUCCAGCUCCACUCAAUGAAUCUUGUCCUCUACAAGCAUCACAGUUUUAUUCACUGCUUUGUACUAAAUCUCAAGGACCAAACCUAUUCGACGGAUUCCAGGAAAAACCUUCUUGGAAAUUGAUGUCAAAGGGGGAGAGAGAGAUCACAUCAAAGCUUAUCAUCAGAGAGAGAGAGAGAUCACAUCAAGAGCUUAUCACCUACAAAGGAGAAUACUAAGGGGUCCCAUAUAUUAAGGGGGAGAGAAUACUCAAGGAUCCCAAUCCCAAAUGCUUGAUGCUCAAGAGGAGAGAUGCCACAUGUCUUUUUGGGGGAAAUACAUGUUCAUAUGAACUCAUUUGAAUUUAGUUCUACUCAUAUCUUUCAGCUCUGAUUUUCUGUUUCCUAUCUUCUCCCAAUAUCCCAUGUAAGAUUCAAGGGGAGCAAGACACCUAAAGGAAAGAAAUCAGUCAAAUUCAUUGCAUAUCUUUAUUCUUGGGGACAUGUUGAAUUCAAUAUGGUAUCUUGUACUCACUCUCUACAUGACAUCCCAAUCUGGUUUCUUUUGUUUGCUCUGGCUAGUGGACGUACCUGUGUUAUCUAAUCUUGUUUGUGCAGGUUCAUUCCAUCCUAAGCCAACUCAAGACCACAAGGUAAGUAUAUGCAUCAAAAUCAUGAGUAUGAGGAGUUCUUGCUUAUGUACAUACUGUUUGCAAGAAGGACUCAUGAGCAUGAAGGUAUUUUCCUUGAUAAUCUUUUGCUCUGAUGCAUAUGGCCAAGAUACAUGUAACACUUUGCCUACUCUGUCAUGGUUAUGCUCUCACAUGCCUCUCUAUUUCAUAUUUACAUGAGUGCAUACAUGUAGGGGGAGCCUAUCCUUGUUACAUGUUCUUCCAAAGCUUUACUUGUUGUUCUUUAUAUCUUUAUCUAAAGCUUUGAUGUAUGUUGCCAUCAAUUACCAAAAAGGGGGAGAUUGUAAGCACAAGUGCUCCCUAGGUGGUUUUGAUAAUUGAUGACAACAUAUCUCUUGUUGGACUAACAUUUCGGUCUAGCAUGUUUCAGAUAAGUUCAACAAUGGAGUGGCAUGGACUAAAGGUUGUGGGAACUCCUUCAAGAUGCUAAGGACAAAGCAUUGGCCAAAGCUUCAAGCUCAAGACUCUUCAUCUUAUAUUUUAGUGAUCCAAGAUCACAUUGAGUCUUUAGGAAAAGCCAAUACUAUCAAGGAGGGAUGAGGUGUUGCUUAAUGAGCCUCUUGCUUCAUGUGCUUAGUGAUAUGCUCCAAAACCCUCAACUACUUUCCCACUUCCACAUAUGACCUAAAUCCUAAGCCAAACUCGGUCCUACCGAUUCCUCAUAUCCGGCGCCACCGAGUUUCACUUGUCAUACGUCACUGCCAAACCCUAAUCAGUUCGGUCUCACCGAUGGGAUCUCGGUCUCACUGAGAUGGGCUUGCAAACUCUCUGUUACCCAUUGCAAUAUUCUCGGUCCCACCGAGAUAUGCAAUCGGUCCCACCGAGUUUGCUUGACCAAAUCUCAGUUUCACUUAUUACCCAAAUCGGUCCCACCGAGUUUGAGUAAUCGGUCAAACUGAGUUUUGGAUAUACCCUAACCCUAGCACAUCGGUCUCACCGAGUUGAUCCAGUCGGUCCCACCGAAAUCUCUAACGGUCACUAGGUUUACAUUUUCGGUCCGACCGAGUUUAUUAAUUCGGUCCCACCGAGAUUGGAAAACUGUGUGUAACGGUUGGAUUUUGUGUGGAGGCUAUAUAUACCCCUCCACCUCCUUCUCAUUUGAAGUGAGAGCCAUCAGAACACACACACCAUUCCAACUCAUAUGUUCUGAGAGAGAACCACCUACUCAUGUGUUGAGACCAAGAUAUUCCAUUCCUACCAUAUGAAUCUUGAUCUCUAGCCUUCCCAAGUUGCUUUCCACUCAAAUCUUCUUUCCACCAAAUCCAAAUCCUAUGAGAGAGAGUUGAGUGUUGGGGAGACUAUCAUUUGAAGCACAAGAGCAAGGAGUUCAUUACCUACACACCAUUUGUUACUUCUUGGAGAGUGGUGUCUCCUAGAUUGGCUAGGUGUCACUUGGGAUCCUCCGAUAAGAUUGUGGAGUUGAACCAAGGAGUUUGUAAGGGCAAGGAGAUCGCCUACUUCGUGAAGAUCUACCGCUAGUGAGGCAAGUCCUGUGUGGGCGAUGGCCAUGGUGGGAUAGACAAGGUUGCUUCUUCGUGGACCCUUUGUGGGUGGUUGCUUCUUCGUGGACCCUUCGUGGGUGGAGCCCUGUGUGGACUCACGCAACCGUUACCCUUGGGUGGAGCCCUGUGUGGACUCGUGCAACCGUUACCCUUCGUGGGUUGAAGUCUCCAUCAACGUGGAUGUAGGAUAGCACCACUUAUCCGAACCACGGGAAAAACAUCCGUGUCUCCAAUUGCGUUUGAAUUCUCCAAACCCUUCUCUUUACAUUCUUGCAAGUUGCAUGCUUUACAUUCCGCUGCUCAUAUACUCCUUGCAUGCCUGCUUGAUAUGUAUUGUGUGUGUUGAAAUUGUGCCUAAACUCCACUUAAACCUAAAAAGCUUAAAAAUUGCAACUUUAGCAUGAAGUGUCUAAUCACCCCCCUCUAGACACAUCUACUUCUUGAUCCUACACCUUUGAAAUAACCUGCAACAAUAUCCACCUCACGACGAUAUGCUGCCAUGAGUGGGUCCUUAGAGUCCCAAGUGCCAGACACCUGCUGAGCCACAAGGUCCGAGUCACGAAGCACUUAACUCGACUUAGAUUCAUCUCCUUAGCCAUCCGGAGACCAUGGAGCAAGGCUUCAUACUCAGCUGCAUUGUUAGUACAAGGGAACAUUAAGCGGAGAACAUAAAAAAACUUAUCACCUCGUGGGGAAGUUAAUACGACUCCAGCCCCCGAGCCUCCCAACUGCCUGGAUCCUUCAAAAUGGAUGGUCCAAUACGUGUGAUCCGGCUUUUCUUCAGGUGCUUGCAUUUCCGUCCAAUCAUUGAUGAAAUCAACAAGUGCUUGAGACUUAACCACUGUCCGAGGCACAUACUUCAAACCGUACGGCCCCAGCUCUAUGGCCCACUUUGCAAUCCGGCCAGUUGCUUCCCGGUUCUAGAUGAUAUCUCCCAAAGGAGCAGAACUGACCACCGUAAUCGGGUGCCCUUGGAAGUAUUGUUUAAGCUUCCGGCUUGCCAUAAAAACUCCAUACACCAGCUUCUGCCAAUGCGGAUACCUUUGCUUGGACUCGAUUAGUACCUCGCUGAUAUAAUAGACCGGUCGUUGAACCGGAUGCUCCUUACCUGCCUCCUUUCGCUCCACCACAAUAGCCACGCUGACCGCCCGAGCAUUGGCAGCAACAUAUAACAGCAACGGCUCCUUGUCAAUGGGAGCGGCGAGCACCGGCGGAUUGGCCAAUUGCCGCUUUAAGUCCUCAAACGCUUCAUUAGCGGCGGAACUCCAGGCAAACUGAUCCAUCUUUUUCAACAUCUGAUACAAAUGGAUUGCCUUCUCACCAAGACGACUGAUAAACCAGCUUAAUGCUGCAAUCCGGCCGGCCAGUCGUUGAACAUCAUUGAUACACUUUGGUUUAGCCAGGGCGGUGAUGGUCGUGAUCUUCUCCGGAUUAGCCUCAAUUCCCCUGUUGGACACCAGAAAACCCAAUAGCUUGCCCGCCGGUACACCAAAGACACACUUGUCCGCAUUAAGCAUCAUCUUGUAUGUCCUCAGGUUAUCAAAAGUUUCCUUCAAAUCAGCAAUCAAAGUCUCCUUCUCCCUAGACUUAACCACGAUAUCAUCCACGUAAGCAUGUACAUUACGGCCGAUUUGCUUGUGAAGAUAAUUUUGUACACACCGUUGAUAAGUUGCAUGGGCACUCUUGAGCCCGAAGGGCAUAGACACAUAGGAGAAGGCUCCAAAGGGAGUUAUAAAUGCCGUCUUCUCCUGGUCCUUAACUGCCAUUUUAAUCUGAUGAUAGCCAGAAUAUGCAUCCAAAAAAGUUAAACACUCACAACCCGCCGUAGCAUCAAUAAUUUGAUCAAUAUGGGGGAGGGCAAAAGGAUCUGUUGGACAAGCUUUAUUAAGAUCUGUGUAAUCCACACACAUGCGCCAGGUGCCAUUUUUCUUGAGGACCAGCACCGGAUUGGCAAGCCACUCAGGGUGAAAAACUUCAACAAUAAAACCAGCUGCUAAGAGCCUGGCUACCUCUUCUCCAAUCGCCUUGCGUCUUUCUUCAUUAAACCAGCGGAGGAACUGUUUCACCGGUUUAUAUUUAGGAUCCACAUUAAGUGUGUGCUCAGCGAGUUGCCUCGGUACACCUAGCAUGUCAGAGGGCUUCCAUGCAAAAAUGUCUUGAUUCUCACGGAUGAACUCGAUGAGCGCGCUUUCCUAUUUCGGAUCCAAGUUGGCACUGAUGCUGAACUGCUUGGAUGAAUCGCCAGGUACGAAGUCAACAAGCUUAGUUUCUGCUGCCGAUUUGAACUUCAAGGCCGGAUCAUGCUCCGUAGUUGGCUUCUUCAACGGAGUCAUGUCCGCCGGAUCAACAUUGUCUUUAGAAUACUUCAGCUCCUCGGUGGCACAAACCGACUCUGCAUAGGCCGCAUCUCCUUCCUCACACUCCAAAGCGAUUUUGCGGCUUCCGUUAACCGUUAUUGUCCCCUUGUGACCCGGCAUCUUGAGCUGCAAAUACACAUAACAGGGCCGAGCCAUAAACUUGGCGUAGGUCGGUCGCCCAAACAGGGCAUGAUAUGGACUUUGGAUUUUCACCACUUCAAACGUCAAUGUCUCCGACCUGGAAUCAUGAUCAUCCCCAAAGGCCACUUCUAGAGCUAUCUUACCAACGGGAUAUGCUGAUCUGCCAGGCACUACACCGUGGAAUACUGUAUUAGACGGUUUGAGAUUCUUAUCUGUUAGUCCCAUACGAUGGAAGGUCUCAUAGUACAGGAUGUUAAUGCUGCUCCCUCCAUCCAUGAGCACCUUGGUGAACUUGUAACCUCCCACCUGAGGCGCCACCACCAGAGCCAACUGACCCGGAUUAUCGACCUGGGGAGGGUGAUCUUCUCUGCUCCAUAUGAUUGGCUGUUCAGACCAACAUAGAUAACGGGGUAUGGCCGGUUCAAUAGAGUUGACCGCCCGCCUCUGAACCUUCCGGUCUUGCUUGUCCAAGCUAGUGGUGAAGACAUGGUACUGCCCAUUACUCAACUGCUUUGGGUUGCUCUGGUAACCUGACUGUUGUUGUUGUUGGUUGUAACCACCCUGGUUGUUCUAACUAUUUUGACCAUUAUGUCCGCCCGGAUUACCAUUGAAUCCUGAAUCGGAACUUCCUCCACCGUAACCCGGCCCGGAUCCUGAGCCACCGCCAGAUUCGUGAUCAUACCGGAAAUUAUUAGAAUUCUUGAACUCCUGCAUAAUAAAGCAAUCCUUCCAAAGGUGGUUUGCUGGAGCCUCUUUCGUCCCAUGUCUUGCACAGGGCUGGCUUAGCAGAUAGUUUAGGCGGUUUGGGUUCGGGUUGGGUGCUCCAUUACGAUUUUUCGGUCUACCCUUGCGUCGCUGGCCAUUGUCCUGUGCGUUGGUAUUAGCCACAAAGUCCAUGUUACCAUCCGCUUUACGCUUGCCUCCACCACCAUUGCCUGCCCAGUGAUGCUGCUGACCUUUGGAGCUGCUGUUCUUCUUCCCUUUCCCUAUCUUGUCAUCAUCAGAUUCGGGAUCCUUGGUACUAUCAGAAUCAGCAUAUUUCACCAAAGCGGCCAUGAGGGUCCCCAUGUCGGUGCAAUGACGCUUCAUCCGUCCCAACUUCAGCUUCAGGGGCCCAAACCGGCAGUUGCCUUCUAGGGUUAAUACUGCGGUGUCAGCGUUGAUGCGGUCUGAGGAGUGCAACACUUGUGAAACCCGGCGCACCCAAUGAGUCGUUGAUUCUCCUUCCUCCUGGAUGCAUGCAGCUAAGUCCACUAUCGACAUAGGCUGUUUACAGGUAUCCUUGAAAUUGCUGAUAAACCGGGCUCGUAAUUGGGCCCAUGAACUGAUAGAAUUAGCCGACAAGCUUUUUAACCAAGUACGGGCCGUUCCUUCAAGCAUCAUGGUGAAGUAUUUCGCACACGCCGCGUCAUCCACAUCAAGCAUCUCCAUGGCCAUCUCAUAGCUCUCCACCCAUGUCUCUGGAGGUUGAUCCGCCGUGUAAUUUGGUACCUUGCGCGGGCCUUUGAAAUCCUUGGGCAGGCGCACGUUGCGUAAAGCGGGGAUAAGGCAAGGCACCCCCAAAGAACUAGAAGUAACACCAGGUUCAGUCAAGGUGGUUGGACGAACCUGCCGAGCCUGAUGCUGUGUGGCUAACUCGGCCUCCCUGCGCGCACGGGCCCGGUCCACCACUCCCUGGGCAUUAUCAGCACCACCCGCCGGGUUGUUGUCAUGGGGUGCCCCACGUCGUUCAUUACUCGACACUGCUGGUUCAUCCAUAUGUCUGCUAUAGCUCCGGCUUGGACGGGGGGUCGAGUGGAUCCGGUCGCGGCUGUACGAGUACGCUUCCUAUUGGGCCAAAGCUGUCCUCAGAAGUUCCUUGACCCGUCGCGUCUCUACUGCCUGCGGCGAGUCACCUUCAAUUGGAAUGGCCUCCAGCCGUGCAGCAGCAGCAACAAGAUUGUCCAUUGGGUUGGAGUAGUGACCCGGAGGUGUUAAAGCAGCCUGAGGUAUAACGGUGUUCUGACGAGGCGGGUCCAUCUGACGAGGCUGAACCGGUGCACCGGUCCUAGGGGCUUCUGCCCGGUUUCCCUCCAGCGGAUUGCCGGCUCUUGGUCCUGGAGUGUUGAAAAGGUCUCUGGCCUCGAAAACCGGUGGUAAGCGGGAUCGGUGCUUCCUCCUCAUGACUUCAUGCGACGCGCUCUGGCCCAACAUAAGCCUGUAGGCCUGUGCGUCUAAAGCGGCACGCUCGGCGGCCAUCCUGGUGUCCUCAGCCGCCAGAUCCGCCUUGGCCUGGGUGAUCUGUUCCUUUACCUUUGCAAUCUCCGCGUUGUGAACGUCCUGAUCCGGCGGAUUAACUUCCGCCAUAAGCACAGCCAAUGCAUCAAAUAGUUCUGAUAGAACCUGAGCCGGCGGGCGCACAGGGCCUCCUGCCCCGGCAGCCGUCGCCGCUGCUGAACUGGAGAUCGUUGCCGCAGCUGUCGAAGAAUGAAGCGCUGCUUGUGUUCCGGCCAUGAAUAUUCCAACCCGGUUGGGCAGAUCAGAGGGGUCCGGAAUACUGUCGCCAUCGGAACAGCUCCCAAUCCGGCCAUCUUGUAGCUGAUAAAGAGAUUCGGUUUCUCCGGUCAAAGAUUCGUCACCGGAACAAACGACGGUCGCGCCGCGAAAUUCUGAUCCGUCCUCAUAACUUCCUCCAUGGAUGACUCCCACGAAGGCACGCUUUAUGGCCGGUUUAACCCGGGCGGAUCACGCACGCUCAGCCGUCUCGAUGAGGUCGGUGCAGAUGUCCGGCUCAGCGCCCGAUUCACUGAUCUUGCCAAUGAAAACGUGAAUGCUACCAAAGGGGACCCGGUACCCGUACUCAAUUGAAUCGGCCUCGGGGCCCCAGCCUGCGUCGUUGAUGUAGAGCUUGCCGCGAUGACUCUUAGUCAUCCGGCCUACAGCGUAGCCCUCGAGUCCUUCAAAGCGGCCCUCCAAGAACCGGAAACCAUCGUGCGAUAGCCCCACGGUGGGCGCCAACUGUCGUUGUUUUGUCACGGCAGAUGUCCUAGAGAAAGGACUUAGUCGUGGAGCCAUCGCAACGGGUUAGCUUGAAGGGGUUAAAGCAGACACAAGGACGCAAGAGAGUUUAUACUAGUUCGGCCCCUUCGAUGAAGGUAAAAGCCUACGUGUAGUUGUGAUGGAAUUGAUGGGGUUUCGAUGACUAGGGAGCAAACAAGCUUCGCCUAUGUCUCGAGUUGUUGUCUGUUGUCCUUGAACCGCCGCCGGGUCAUCCCCUUAUAUACACGGGUGACACCCGUCGGUUCACAGAGUCCCAACACCGGUCGAUAUUCGUAUCCGGGUUGGUCUCUCCUUAUUCCUAACUUACAAUACAAGCUUAUAUACAACUUCCGGUUUACAGCUACAAGUCUUGAACCGGCUACGGGCCUUAGGCCCUCAUCUGCCUUCUUGGGCUUUAUCACUUCUGGGACUACCGAUGAAGUUGACCCGGCCCAGAUAGGCCGGUUUACGCCCAGCAGUAAUAUCCUCAACAAUCGCCGUUGAUCCUUGGAUCUCUGUAGAGAAGGCCCUUAUUGACUUAGGGCGCCUUGCCUUUCGGAGGCCAUUUGGGCCCUUGGAUUCUGCCGCCUGGCAUUAGUUGCUUGACUGCGUCACUCUCCACGAGCCUGAGGUGGACGCUGGCCUGGACCUGGUUCGGUGGUGCCUUGAGCCGUCAGGCCAAUUCUCCACCCAGUCCCUCUACCGGGCCAUUGCACCAUCCUCCGCCCCUCCCCUUACGUCUGUCUGGUCCAUCCGCCUGCCGUUGAAGAUUCGGAUCUUCAUGUGGCAAUGGAUUCGCGGGCGGACCCCAUGUAGCAUGGAGGUCCGCAAGUGCAGUGGCCUGGGUAGUGGCCUUUGCCCGCUCUGUGGUGUCCCCGAAGACUCGAAUCACAUCUUCUUCUCUUGUGUGUCCGCUCAAUUCAUUUGGAGCUGCUUUAGAGAGGUGGUUGGUGGCAAUUGUUGUCACACCAAUUUCCUCGACCUAUUCGCCGAACUCCAGAACUCCCCCCCCCCCCAGCAUUCUCGCCACAUUAGGUGGCUGGAGAUUGGGGUCCUCGCUUGGACUCUCUGGAUGAUCCGCAAUAGACUUGUGAUUCAGCGCAUUCCGCUUCGACGUGCUACUGACGCCCUUUUCAAACUGUCUGGUUACUUGCAGCUUUGGCGGCCGCUUAGCCGCCCCACGGACCGGGACGCCAUCUCUGUCUUCAUCGCCGACCUUCGCUCGAUGGUUGUUCGUCUGUCGCCGCCGCUCCCUCCGCCACUCCCCGAGCUGGAUUAGGGGUCGGGCCCUCUUUGGCCUCUCCCGGCCGUUCUUUUUCCUUUUCUCUUUUGUUUGGGCUUGUUGAGCUGUGCCCUUAGCAGAACCUAUUGUACUUCUUGUUGUGAGACUUGGGUGUGUGUGUGUUGUGGACUAGUCCUUGUAUGGGUGAUCUGUGGCGGUUUGCUUUAUCUAUAAAGCGGGGCGAAAGCCUUUUUCGGUAUUUCAAAGGUUGUGAGGGUAGAUGUGCACAAGGAAAUUAACUCUUAUUUUCUAGGUAGACCAAAUCUUCUAAUUUAUGUACUCUUGUGAUGAAGUAGUAUCAGCUGAUGCAGCCAAUCAAGUUUAAUGUUCAGCAACAGAUGCGUCAGCAACAAAUCUGGCAACAGCAGAAUGUGGACAAUGGUUGGGAGGCUGAUGAGCCAUCCUGCAAACAAAAUAGUAUGUCAUGCAACAAAGGUAAAUUGUUUUAACAAACUUAAUUCCAAGGCUACAUCUAUCAUUCAUAUAGUCAUUCAAAUACUAGUAAGACAUGCGAAGCAAAUGUAACUAAGUCACUCUGGUUAAAAGUUGUGAUUUGACUGUGCCUGUGCUCUCAAAAGCCAUAUAUUUGACAGUUGGAUGGUUUUGGUUACCGUAGUACUACCAAAGAUGGAUGAAGAAAAUAUAGGAAGGACAAAGUACACUGCACAAGCACAAAUACGCUUUAUUUUUACCAACUUAACUUUGCAGGCAUUCAGAUGGAAGAGAUGGGCAGCAACCAACUGUAUCUAUGUGUGUGUGUGCCUCUGACCCUGGUGUAGUUCAUGUGCAAGCAGACUGUGCUGAUCAUUGGUUUGGUCUUUACAGUUUAUUUUCGUUCUGUGUGCCGAUGCCAUCUUCAGUUAAGCAUACGUUAACUAAAACCACGACGAGUAAUUUGAAAAGGAGGGAGUGCUAAACAGAGCAGAGAAAGAUAACAAGGUAAGCUAAUUGGCCUAGCAACUGUAAUAUCCAAAUCUAACGUACUACUCUCUCCGUCUCAAAAUAAGUGUCGCUAAUUUAAUACAAUUUUGUACUCAAUCAGCGUCCGUUAUUUUGGGACAAAGGGAGUAGAUAAUAACAAGUUAGGAUCUUCAGCUCAGUUCAGGGCACCACUUAAUCGCAAAAUAAUUGGAAAUUUUUGAAUUUUAAACUGUGUGUGUGAUCAACCAUGUACACGCAACUACAGGCAGGGUGUGGACAAAAGUCAGGGGGGAAAGAGAGUUGAAGAUGAGAUGAGAGGCAACGAGCUGAUGAGACUCCCCAUCAGUACUCCAAACAAGAAAAAUAACAAGAGCAGCACCUGCUUGCAACCCCUUUACUGAUUGCUUGCUAAUGAGUGUUUACUGGACAUGCUUUAUUUACCAACUUGCCACAGCACAGCACAGCACAGCCACCCCACAUGAGCAGGUCUCUGAACAAAAGGGGCAUCAUCCUGCUACAGAGUAGCACUCAGAGUCCAUGUAGCAGCAAGCAGGUUGUGGUGAUGAUUGGUCUCUCUCUUCUUUCAAAUUUGCUUUACCAACGUGCCGCAACACAAUCACGACUCAAAUGAAGACCCAGAUGAGCAGCAAAUAUAUAUACUGUACAUGUCUGUAUGUGUGUGCCUGGCUCUGAGGGCAGACAGAAAGGGGCACAUCCCACUGCAGAGCACACAGUUCAUGUGGCAGCAGGUUGUGGUGAUGAUUGAUUGAUUAGUCUCUAAUUUCCUUCAUUUCAAAUGGGCAUCUGUCCUUUGAGCAAAUGAUCCUGGCCAAUCUUCAGUUCAGAUAAGGUACCUGCCCCUUGAGCAAAUGAUGCUAAACAAAGGCAAAUUUUAGCAUACUCCCUUUUACCUCCUCUUUUCACAUGAGAGAUAAGAGUUCAUAAUAGAUCUGAGUCUUUGAUUUAAUUAAGUAGUAGUCAGAUUUACUCCUACCUUCUUCCCAAGUGAAAAGAGGGGGUAAGGAGGAUAAGGUAAGCAAAGCUGCUAAUUGAGCUACCAACUAAGCCUGUCGCGGCUUGGCUUUACGGUAUAUAUAUAUGAUAGCAUAUUACUUCCCUUUUAAGAUGAAGUGGGUAAGCAUCAACACCUGCUACUAACCCUGAUGUACGUAAUACUACUGCCGUGCUUAGACUAAUGCAUGCCUCGAAGUUCUACUCUACCUUUGUUUUCGCUUCUCGAUGUGCUUUUUGGCAAAAGUUCCAUGGUGACCCGCGAUUAUAACAAUGACAAAAGGCGCUUUGGGACUUAACAGGUCUCAACAUUCCAUAUGCUACUAGAAUUCAGUAGUAGUAGCAACUUUAUGACUUUGCUGUUGGCAAUUUCGACAAGUUUGUUCGAUGACACACAUAUAUAGGCCCUGUUUGGUUUCAAAUAAGUCAUCAACUUAUAAGUCGAAAAAUGCAAAAAAUCACCCCAACUUAUAAGCCAUAAGUUGCUCCACCCCAACUUAAAACUUAUAAGUCACCUCUUUUUACGUGGGUUUCAUCACCUUUAUAUUAAAAACAAGGUGAAAAAGUGUGGUCAGAUGACAACCAAACAGGCGUGACUUAUAAGUCACUGAUUUUAAGUCACAUGACUUAUAAGUCAGGUGAUUUAUUGGAACCGAACAUGCCCAUAGUAUAUUAAAAUAAUUAGAUUGGGAGACAUAUGUACAACCAGUAACAAACAGUUUGGAUAAAUUCACCUCCUCUAUUUUCUGCAUUGAGGCCUGAUUUCAACCAUGAAUCUGUCACACAUUUCAUGAGGCAAUCCUAUAUUCAUUCAUUCAUUCAUUGAUCGUGAAUGGAUAGAUGAUCUCAUCUCAUCCCUGAACCCAUGCAUGCACAAAAAUGAAAGACAGAGAAACCCAAACCAAAACACAAGUAACCACUACUAGCACUACCCUCUGUUUGCUUGCUUGUUUUCUCACACUACUUACAAACAAAAAGAAAGAAAUCAUCAAGGAGAACGAAAAACCUUGCUAGCUGC